Molecule: unclassified non-coding RNA, 220 nt
Filed under: plant metagenome
Description: partial contains small subunit ribosomal RNA, internal transcribed spacer 1, and 5.8S ribosomal RNA
Source: RNAcentral
UUUCCGUAGGUGAACCUGCGGAAGGAUCAUUACAGAGUUCAUGCCCUCACGGGUAGAUCUCCCACCCUUGAAUAUUUAUACCUUAGUUGCUUUAGCAGGCCGUGGAAACACCAUGGGCUCCGGCUUAUGCGUGCCUGCCAGAGGAAACAAACUCUGUUUUUAGUGAUGUCUGAGUACUAUAUAAUAGUUAAAACUUUCAACAACGGAUCUCUUGGUCCUG